AUUCAGCUGACGAGUCUCAAAUAAAACGAAACACGCGUCCUGAAU
RNAcentral lists this non-coding RNA (45 nucleotides) under Schistosoma bovis. Lineage: Eukaryota; Metazoa; Platyhelminthes; Trematoda; Strigeidida; Schistosomatidae. RNAcentral also lists the same sequence under 1 other name. The record is from RNAcentral.